Molecule: ribosomal RNA, 498 nt
Filed under: uncultured bacterium
Lineage: Bacteria
Description: partial 16S ribosomal RNA
Rfam family: Bacterial small subunit ribosomal RNA
Source: RNAcentral
AUUGAACGCUGGCGGCAUGCUUUACACAUGCAAGUCGAACGGUAACAGGCCGCAAGGUGCUGACGAGUGGCGAACGGGUGAGUAAUGCAUCGGAACGUGCCCAGUCGUGGGGGAUAACUGCUCGAAAGAGCAGCUAAUACCGCAUACGAUCUAUGGAUGAAAGCGGGGGACCGUAAGGCCUAGCGCGAUCGGAGCGGCCGAUGUCAGAUUCGGUAGUUGGUGGGGUAAAGGCUCACCAAGCCAACGAUUUGUAGCUGGUCUGAGAGGACGACCAGCCACACUGGGACUGAGACACGGCCCAGACUCCUACGGGAGGCAGCAGUGGGGAAUUUUGGACAAUGGGGGCAACCCUGAUCCAGCAAUGCCGCGUGCAGGAAGAAGGCCUUCGGGUUGUAAACUGCUUUUGUACGGAACGAAACGGUCUGGGUUAAUACCCUGGGCUAAUGACGGUACCGUAAGAAUAAGCACCGGCUAACUACGUGCCAGCCGCCGCAGUAA